GUCGAGCGGACAGAUGGGAGCUUGCUCCCUGAUGUUAGCGGCGGACGGGGUGAGUAACACGUGGGUAACCUGCCUGUAAGACUGGGAUAACUCCGGGAAACCGGGGCUAAUACCGGAUGCUUGAUUGAACCGCAUGGUUCAAUUAUAAAAGGUGGCUUUUAGCUACCACUUACAGAUGGACCCGCGGCGCAUUAGCUAGUUGGUGAGGUAACGGCUCACCAAGGCGACGAUGCGUAGCCGACCUGAGAGGGUGAUCGGCCACACUGGGACUGAGACACGGCCCAGACUCCUACGGGAGGCAGCAGUAGGGAAUCUUCCGCAAUGGACGAAAGUCUGACGGAGCAACGCCGCGUGAGUGAUGAAGGUUUUCGGAUCGUAAAACUCUGUUGUUAGGGAAGAACAAGUACCGUUCGAAUAGGGCGGUACCUUGACGGUACCUAACCAGAAAGCCACGGCUAACUACGUGCCAGCAGCCGCGGUAAUACGUAGGUGGCAAGCGUUGUCCGGAAUUAUUGGGCGUAAAGCGCGCGCAGGCGGUUUCUUAAGUCUGAUGUGAAAGCCCCCGGCUCAACCGGGGAGGGUCAUUGGAAACUGGGGAACUUGAGUGCAGAAGAGGAGAGUGGAAUUCCACGUGUAGCGGUGAAAUGCGUAGAGAUGUGGAGGAACACCAGUGGCGAAGGCGACUCUCUGGUCUGUAACUGACGCUGAGGCGCGAAAGCGUGGGGAGCGAACAGGAUUAGAUACC
RNAcentral lists this ribosomal RNA (745 nucleotides) under Bacillus licheniformis. RNAcentral's name for it is "bacterial SSU rRNA". It matches the Rfam family "Bacterial small subunit ribosomal RNA", at positions 61 to 786 of the family's 1533-position model. Lineage: Bacteria; Bacillati; Bacillota; Bacilli; Caryophanales; Bacillaceae. The record is from RNAcentral.